This is a non-coding RNA of Pelobates cultripes (western spadefoot toad), 5305 nucleotides long. The record is from the annotation of a GenBank genome assembly. NCBI's taxonomy places the organism in Eukaryota, Metazoa, Chordata, Amphibia, Anura, Pelobatidae.
GUAGGGGGAAAAUAUAACCUUUUCUAUUGAAAUCAGCACUUUUCUGAACAGUCACAAAUAUAACAGACUCCAGACACAUAAAGCGCUAUGUGUGUGAAGAGAUCCUUUAAAACCUUGCAGAGUGUAGGCCACUCUAAUUGCAUUUUUUUUUUUUUUUUUUUAAACCAAUGUUGUUUUCCUUGAUUGUAGCUGAAAUGAUUGAAGGAACAUUAUAGUGUAAGGAAUGCACAAUGCCACGCUGUGCCAAUGUGAAACGGUAGUGCUUACUUUAAAAAGCCUGCAGGAACAUGUUAUACACUACAGAAUAAAUACAUUAAGCUGUAGUUCUGGUGACUAUAGUAUCCCUUUAAUAAAAAGCAAUAGUUAAAAAUUUAGUGAGAUGCCAGAUAGGGUGAAUUGGACACAUAACCAGUGUCAUUAAGAUACAUGUUUUGCACUAGUUCAGCCUUGCAGCAAAUCGUCACUGGUAAGGUAUUCCAGUUAGUGCUAUCAACAUGACAGCAGCUGGAAUAGCAGGGAGAAAUCAAGCAGUCCAUUAAUAAAACCUACUUUAAAAUGAGUUCACUUGUAAUUUAUGUUUUGUUUUUUAGUUCUUUCCAUUGUUCACAGAGCGCAAAUACAGCACCUAGUUUACCCACCCAGAAACCAAUCGCCAAUGUAAUAUCCAGAGGUGUAACAAUCCCAUUUAAAUCAAAGAUGGCCUGUUUGUGCCAUUGCUUUGCAUUUAGGCUGGCAAAGCCCAUGUGAAUAUAGCUGUACGAAGGAUGGGGGUUCCUGCCUUAAAUAGGCAUAAAAUUGGACACAGAGGGUUACCUGCUUUUAAAGGUUUAAUGACUUUGUUUGGAGGCUUUUGAGCAAGUGAUUGUGCCUUAUAAUAGAAACAGUAAACAUUUUCUGGAGCCUUUGCCUCAUGCACAAAUAGGAAAGGAUUUAUUAAAAACUAGACUGGGUACUGAUGUAAUCUGGUUUCUAUAGCAAAGUUUAUAAAAUAAAGUAGGUAUUGAAAUUUGUAGCUGCCGUCCAGGCACAGGGAACAUUCUGAAUGUUAUCAGUGCACCAAUUUAAAAUGUUACAUUAGUGAGGAUGUAAUAUAGAAUUCUAGCUCCUAUCUGCUUAGGAUUCAAAACCUUGUGUUUUAAGGCAUACAAGUGUUAAUGGCUCUUGUGGGCCACAAACUGGUGGAAAUGGUACCUCAAAGUGGACCUCUCCUCCACAAAUGUACUUUUUAAGCUUCAGAUUAUGCAAUGUAGACCAUGCAGCGUGCUGGUAAAAUUCCCAACAUAUAUAUAUUAAAUGCAGACAUCCUUGAAUGACUAUUGGAUCUGGGAUCCUUCUUUUGUGCUGUAUACGUAUCUCCAUGGACCUACAACAGUGGUGAACAUGGCAUCCUCCUUUGUCUAAUGCAGUUGUGUGCUAGGCAUGGGUGAAGGCACACAGAUGCAGAUAUCUACUGUUGUGGCAUACAUGGUUUGUAUGUUUUACUUUGGUAUAGCGACUUAAAGGAUACUCUAAACACACAACUCUUCAGCUUGAGUUCAAUACAAUUCUGAACUUUUAGAAGUAAACCAUAUUAUACUUCCUUGACUUUGACUGUCUGUUGGAUUGCUGGUCCUGUAGUCCUAUGGAGCUAAAGGCAAGAGGCCGCAAUUGCACAGAGCACCUGCCUUGCAAAGACUUCUUAAUGAGCUGUAUUACAGCUCACAGGUAAAUCUGUGAUUGGACAGCCACAAAACAUCUGUGCUGUGUGGGCUUGCUGUAGCUGCAGAUACUAGAUCUGCAGCUAUUGCAGGAAAAUAUUAAUAUACGCCAAAAGAAAACAUGCAAAACCAACCAUUUGCAUAUUUUCCGAGUGUAUUUAUUAUUGUGGGUAUAUUUUGUGUGUUUUGGCUUAUUUUGUAUAUAUAUAUAUUUUUUUUAAGUAUUCCUUCUUUUACAGUAAAUGUUCUUCUAUACACCAAGCGCUGUAGCUAUCCCACGUUGCAGGAGAAGGAAUUUUGAUUUGAGUCCACACACAUGAAAAUGUGAAACGGUGAAUAAAACAAAAACAUGCCUGUGAAAUGCCCCUUGUUUAGAGUAAAUCUCUGUGGCAGUUUUUUUUCCUUCGUAAGUGACUGAGCUUUCUCAGCCAGUCCUGUUCCGCUCAUUGUUCCUUGUGGGAGCACCGAAUGUAUCCCAAAACUCCCUGUACAGCAGAUGGUUUUUUUUUUCUGAUAUUUAUUCAAGCUUUCUAUGUAAACCUAUAAAUUUUGUAGGUGGGAAUGCAAAUGUUUGACAUUAGGUUAUCCCAGUGCCGUCACGAGCUAAAUGUGCACAUGUAUUACAGUGUCAAUCAAAAUACAGCCAUUGUUAGUAAUCUGUGCACAUCCACAUGUCCGAUCUGAUUUUAGGACCCAGACAGAUCAGAAUUGAAAGUGUAUAAGUGUAUUAGAAAAGGUGAUUUUGCACCUCAAAUUCUGAUGCAUUUUGCAAGUGGCUGCUAGGAUUUCAGAAGUCCAUGGUUUUAAACAUCAAACAUGUGAUAAGUGAACUGGCGUACUAGGGUUUAUUCUGUUUGUGGGGCUUCUUAGUUUACAGAAGUUACUAACACAAGAUAAAAAGGUUGAUCCAUUGUUAUCGUGGGGUGUAUAUUUACCUUUCUAUUUGGAUAUUUUAGAGUUUCUGGACAUAUAACUCUUUUCAUCAUGGAAAUGUAAUUUCUAUAAAUUUCUACAUUUAUACUGUGUAUUUCCUGAUGUUUAAGUUACACUGCUGAGCUUCAAAAGAUUUGUGCUUUGUACAAAUGAAAAUGAUUUAUAUGUCUAAAUAGAAGUGAGAUAAAAUAACCUAUUAAAAUGAAGCCUCCUGGGCACUAUCCUUUUUGAAAUAUUGCAACCACACAUUGUAUAUAAUGGGUAAAUCCUCCGAAAUAACGCCGCUGCUAGCUGUUCUUUAGCAGAAAAGAAUAGUUUGGGGAUUUUUUUUUUUUUUUUAAAGAACCAUACAAAAUAGCAAAUUGCUGAUAAAUACUCACAGCCAUGAUUUAUUUAAUGUUUUACAAGCAAAUUAAGUUAGUGAUGUCAUAAAGGCCUCCUCUUGCGCUGCACGCUAUAAAGAAUGACUGGUCCUAACAUUAUUUAGCCAAUGUCUGAAAUAUAUCAUAAAACAUAAACCUGGAGGGGGGGUGCCUCUAAAUGGAACCAAGGCCAAUGCAGGUAUCUCUUCAUCUUAUUUACUGUCGGUCAGAUUUAUAAAGGUACAAGUCAAUUUAGUGCAAAAUGCUACAAUUCGUAGAAAACCCCUGAUCACUCUAGAUUUUGCAUUCCUGCUAAACAUAACUCUUAAUGUGUUCGUAGACCAAGUAAAAACAUGGUAGACUGGUAAUGUCGUGAUAUCCUAUUGACUUGAACUUUUCACUGAGAGAUCCAUGCAUUUCUGUGUAACAACCCUGCUUUGGCACCUUCAGUGAAGCUGUAGCUAGGAUUUAAUGUGGGCAAUACGUUUGGAAGACAAUCCAAUGUACCAAACCUUUGUUCUACCUCAGCCCUAUUGCCAGCCAAGUUUUUUUUAAAGGGACACUAUAGUCACCUAAACAACUUUAGCUUAAUGAAGCAGUUUUGGUAUAUAGAACAUGCCCCUGCAGCCUCACUUCUCAAUCCUUUGCCAUUUUUGGAGUUAAAUCCCUUUGUUUAUGAACCCUAGUCACACCUCCCUGCAUGUGACUUGCACAGCCUUCCAUAAACACUUCCUGUGAAGAGAGUCCUAUUUAGGCUUUCUUUAUUGCAAGUUCUGUUUAAUUACGAUUUUCUUAUCCCCUGCUAUGUUAAUAGCUUGCUAGACCCUGCAAGAGCCUCCUGUAUGUGAUUAAAGUUCAAUUUAGAGAUUGAGAUACAAUUAUUUAAGGUAAAUUACAUCUGUUUGAAAGUGUAACCAGUUUUUUUUUUUUUUUUCAUGCAGUCUCUGUCAAUCAUAGCCAGGGGAGGUGGGGCUAGGGCUGCAUAAACAGAAACAAAGUGAUUUAACUCCUAACUGACAGUGAAUUGAGCAGUGAAAUUGCAGGGGAAUGAUCUAUACACUAAAACUGCUUUAUUUAGCUAAAGUAAUUUAGGUGACUAUAGUGUUCCUUUAAAUUAACAAAGUGAAACCCUUUUCUUUUUCUUCCAUCAUUAUUGUGUUGUCUAAACAUGUUGCCAUUUAUAGUUUUCAAAUGAAAUGUCUAAUAAGCAUACUUUCUCUGGUUUUCUGUCGGGCAUCUAACAUUGUAAAGAGAAUGGUCACUCGUUCUAUGUUGGAGAGGUUAAUGAACAAUAAUAAAAACUCCAAUUGUUCCCCGUUUGUUUGUGUGCACCAGGUUUUGCGAUUGUGAAAAUGUAAUGCUUUGUGUGUCUGAUUUAUACUUGAAACAAGCAUUUCCUACAAUGUUUCCAUAUUAAGGCAAAUGUGUCCAGGCUUUUAAGUGAUUUGCAUUAUUUAACCUUUCAACCCUGUUACCUGACUUGCACAGCUAGAAAAAUAAACAAAUUCAGGGUUUGUGUGAUCUCAUGCUGUAUAGAUUUUAUUCUACAUUUCUUCAUGAAAGACUAAGCAAGAAAUAUUUAUUUACUGGUAUAUGCGAUUUACUGGGGGCGUCCUUUUUUCCGAAAAUGACCACACUAGAAUGAUGCCAAGCCAAGCAAUUGGUGCUCUGAAAAGCCCUUGGACUAUGGUCAGUAGUUUGUACAAAUCUGGUCCUUGUCAUUUCAAACACUCACCCUUUUGUUUAACGAACACAAUUUUGUUAAGAUGGAUUCUUGAAUGUCUAUCACUCCAUCCAUUUCUGUACCAUUCACUGUGAGCUCUCCUUGUUGAAGAUGGGGUAAGAUCGGGAUUGUGUGGUUAUAGCACAAAUCCUCAUUAUCCAGAAAUUUGUUGAUGGUGAAGGAUAUUAAGGGGGAGACCUGUAGGUAUCACUCCCUGUGAUACAGGCAUCCAAUUGACACAUCCUAUAUGAAAGAACUCUUAAAUCUCACCUCGUAUCUGCCUGUUGCUAGUGAUGUAAGCUUAAACUAAUUACCCAGCUGUCCUGUCAUUGCACACAUUACUGAAAAUGUACAUAAAUUCAAUGUAAAUUCUAUAGCUUGCCAUGUUUUUUUUCUUUAUAUAUAUAUUUUUUUUUAAUCUGAUGUCCCUGCCAUUUUCUUUUGCCUUUGUAGGAUUUCUGAAUUGUGAUAAUUCUGUAUUUAAGAGAAUAUUUAAAUGUAAAAAUAAAUGAAACUAUGCUGACACUUUAUGAAACUUUUCUCUUUGAUUAUUCCCCCCCUCCCCCCCCAGGUAAAUGAUUUCUAUUUAG